CCUACGGGUGGCAGCAGUGAGGAAUAUUGGUCAAUGGCCGGAAGGCUGAACCAGCCAUGCCGCGUGAAGGUCAGUGCCCUAUGGGCGUUAAACCUCUUUUAUGCGGGGAUAAAGGUGUCCACGUGUGGAUGUUUGCAGGUACCGCAUGAAUAAGGACCGGCUAAUUCCGUGCCAGCAGCCGCGGUAAUACGGAAGGUCCGGGCGUUAUCCGGAUUUAUUGGGUUUAAAGGGAGCGUAGGCCGGUCUUUAAGCGUGCCGUGAAAUUUUGUGGCUCAACCAUGAGAGUGCGGCGCGAACUGGAGGCCUGGAGUGCGCGGAAGGCAGGCGGAAUUCGUGGUGUAGCGGUGAAAUGCUUAGAUAUCACGAAGAACCCCGAUUGCGAAGGCAGCCUGCCGCAGCGUUACUGACGCUGAAGCUCGAAAGCGCGGGUAUCGAACAGGAUUAGAUACCCUUGUAGUC
Molecule: ribosomal RNA, 459 nt
Filed under: uncultured bacterium
Lineage: Bacteria
Description: partial 16S ribosomal RNA
Rfam family: Bacterial small subunit ribosomal RNA
Source: RNAcentral